Molecule: unclassified non-coding RNA, 351 nt
Filed under: Hevea brasiliensis (rubber tree)
Lineage: Eukaryota; Viridiplantae; Streptophyta; Magnoliopsida; Malpighiales; Euphorbiaceae
Source: RNAcentral
AAGGCUUAGUUGAGUUGAGUUGUAAAUCUGAGAGUUGACCAAAAAGAAAUCAGUUAAACUGAAUUCUUGUGAAAUUUUAGUUUUCAAACAAGGGGUAUAUCCAUUUUUCUCUGGAAAAGAAAAUCCCAUCCUACUUUUUAACUUGAUUUUUUGAAACUGACAUACAAAAUGACGAACGUGGUUGUCUAUAACAUGAUUUUAUUUGAGAAUUGGAGCAAGCAGCAACCUGACAGGAUAAUUCCACUGAUGAACUGUCAGCUGUAUAAAAUAACACUUUGUAAGUAGCAUCUGGAGUAGGCCCAUCACUCUUCUCUAUUUUAAAUUCUUUAUCCCCCUGUUUGGAAUCUAGAA